This 328-nucleotide ribosomal RNA is filed under the name uncultured eukaryote. Its description in RNAcentral is "partial 18S ribosomal RNA". It matches the Rfam family "Eukaryotic small subunit ribosomal RNA", at positions 1470 to 1796 of the family's 1831-position model. The record is from RNAcentral.
CCCUUAGAUGUCCUGGGCCGCACGCGCGUUACACUGAUGCAUUCAACGAGCUUAUAACCUUGGCCGAGAGGCCUGGGCAAUCUUGUUAACGUGCAUCGUGAUAGGGAUAGAUUAUUGAAAUUAUUAAUCUUGAACGAGGAAUUCCUAGUAAACGCAGAUCAUCAAUCUGCAUUGAUUACGUCCCUGCCCUUUGUACACACCGCCCGUCGCACCUACCGAUUGGAUGGUCCGGUGAAGCCUCGGGAUUGUGGUUCUUGCCGCUUUAUUGUUGCGUGACCGCGAGAACUUGUCUAAACCUUAUCAUCUAGAGGAAGGUGAAGUCGUAACA